This is a long non-coding RNA of Anopheles arabiensis, 1201 nucleotides long. RefSeq lists it as uncharacterized. Lineage: Eukaryota; Metazoa; Arthropoda; Insecta; Diptera; Culicidae. The record is from RefSeq and is a predicted model, not a curated record. The transcript is spliced from 3 exons.
UUUGUUUACAAUUGGACUGGUUUGUUUACAAUUGGACAGGUUUGUUUACAAUUUGUCUGGAUUGCAAUCAUGCAAUGGUGUAGUGUUUGGUGUUAAAUAUUUUGUGACAAGGGAGAAAUCGAGUAAGUGAGAAUCCAAGACAUGAGCUCAUCGCGUGUUGGCCAACAUUGGAACCUGGCAGGCACGGAAACAUGGAGACAUGUCCUUCCAUUUGGCAACAGGUGCUCUCGGGAUAUGGCUUUUUCUGGGAGUACUUAUGUAUCAAGGGUUUCACGUCGUCCCCGGACAGCCAGUUGUGUGUCGGUGUACCAGAGGAUGCAGAACAUGUGACGUGGCCUCCCGGUAGUGUGUCGCUUGUAUUACGAGGAAAACGUUAAGGAAGGCUGACAUCUGGCAGAAAGGGAGAUGUCCGCUAGAAUGAGUAGUAAACGAAGUUUGAACGAACGAACAGUUGGAAAAAUAAAUGAACUUAACAAAAAAUAUAAUUAAAUGGUGAGAGGUGCUACCAAGCAGGGGAAAGAGAGGCUCAUUAUGAGCAAACAACAAUCCCUUUCCAAGAUCCUCAUCAAUGAUUCCGACCCGCAAGUGGAACGGUUGUGCUAGAUCGGAAUCGGAAACUGUUGGAUCCCAGUUACCACAGGGAUAAUGGAAACCAUAGCAACCAUGCGGUAUAAAAGGAGCCGAUAGCUCAUCACCGAUUUACUCUUAAGUUGACUUCCAAAUACAAAACUUAAACUAGAACCUGUGUGCAAUAGUCCGAGUAGUUCGGACAUAUCAGAAACAAAUCCGACCCGAGGAAAUUGACCCGUACGACUCCGGGAUGCUUCGGAUUGCUCCGACCCGGUGAGUUCCAGUUGCCCCGCCUUUCACUAGUGUGUGUAAGGAAGAACGUGCGUGAGUUGUCGGAUCGCUGACCAAGGAGUAGGAGAAGGAGGUAAAAAUGAGUUAAUGUUUAACGAGCCCGUUGUAACAAUAAUAAUUAGAAAAUAAACUUCAAAUAUAUUUGUGUUUUUCGGAAGCAUUUAUCAAAUACGAUUUCCCUCUAUAAGGUUGACAAAGUGUAAUUUUCAUAACGUUUGUCACAACAAUUUACGCAAACACAAAAUAUUAUCUAAAUAAACACUAUGUACAAAACAUGUUGAUACUCUUACUGUACGGGCCGCACACCAGCCACACCGUGCACCCCUACCGAGAGCACCUA